RNAcentral lists this ribosomal RNA (447 nucleotides) under uncultured bacterium. Its description in RNAcentral is "partial 16S ribosomal RNA". It matches the Rfam family "Bacterial small subunit ribosomal RNA", at positions 355 to 796 of the family's 1533-position model. The record is from RNAcentral.
UGGGGAAUAUUGGACAAUGGGCGAAAGCCUGAUCCAGCCAUGCCGCGUGUGUGAAGAAGGUCUUCGGAUUGUAAAGCACUUUAAGUUGGGAGGAAGGGCAGUUACCUAAUACGUGAUUGUUUUGACGUUACCGACAGAGUAAGCACCGGCUAACUCUGUGCCAGCAGCCGCGGUAAUACAGAGGGUGCAAGCGUUAAUCGGAAUUACUGGGCGUAAAGCGCGCGUAGGUGGUUAGUUAAGUUGGAUGUGAAAUCCCCGGGCUCAACCUGGGAACUGCAUUCAAACUGACUGACUAGAGUAUGGUAGAGGGUGGUGGAAUUUCCUGUGUAGCGGUGAAAUGCGUAGAUAUAGGAAGGAACACCAGUGGCGAAGGCGACCACCUGGACUGAUACUGACACUGAGGUGCGAAGCGUGGGGAGCAAACAGGAUUAGAUACCCUGGUAGUCC